This is a non-coding RNA of Phascolarctos cinereus (koala), 229 nucleotides long. The record is from RefSeq and is a predicted model, not a curated record. Lineage: Eukaryota; Metazoa; Chordata; Mammalia; Diprotodontia; Phascolarctidae.
GGGAACAAUAGUGGCAGCUCGUGGUGUUUCUCCCCUGUCCUCAUACAGGUCUGAGUGAGAAGGAAGAAAUUCUGGGCUCCUAGAAUUUUCAAGUUAGAAAGGCAAGAAAAAUUGAACAAAUGAACUCUUUCUGCUUCCAGUUGGGAAAUGUGAACAGCUUUCCCUUACAAAGCAACUUGCAUUAAGGACACAAAUUGGUGGAGGGAAGUACUGAUGCAUUUACCCAUUU